RNAcentral lists this non-coding RNA (104 nucleotides) under unclassified sequences. RNAcentral describes it as "NiCo sequence". It matches the Rfam family "NiCo (Nickel/Cobalt) riboswitch aptamer". The record is from RNAcentral.
UAAUAUUUUACUGAUCAGGCAGCCGCUUUCCGCGGAAAUGCCGGGCUUGACACCGAUCGGGCAGCAGUGUGGUUUUUGAGACAAAAACAGCCUGCGGGACAGAA